GGAUUAGAUACCCUGGUAGUCCACGCCGUAAACGAUGAGAACUAGGCGUUGGGUUGUUUAGACAACUUAGUGCCGAAGCUAACGCGUUAAGUUCUCCGCCUGGGGAGUACGGCCGCAAGGCUAAAACUCAAAGGAAUUGACGGGGGCCCGCACAAGCGGUGGAGCAUGUGGUUUAAUUCGAUGCAACGCGAAAAACCUUACCUACCCUUGACAUCCUUGGAAUCUUCUAGAGAUAGAAGAGUGCCUUCGGGAGCCGAGUGACAGGUGCUGCAUGGCUGUCGUCAGCUCGUGCCG
Molecule: ribosomal RNA, 294 nt
Filed under: uncultured bacterium
Lineage: Bacteria
Description: partial 16S ribosomal RNA
Rfam family: Bacterial small subunit ribosomal RNA
Source: RNAcentral